This is a long non-coding RNA of Ipomoea triloba (trilobed morning glory), 184 nucleotides long. RefSeq lists it as uncharacterized. The transcript has 2 exons. The record is from RefSeq and is a predicted model, not a curated record. Lineage: Eukaryota; Viridiplantae; Streptophyta; Magnoliopsida; Solanales; Convolvulaceae.
CAUAAAAAAUGAAGACCUUGAAGAGUUGAAGGAAAUUGGGUUAUGGAACAUUUGGCACUGUCUAUCAUGGCAAAUGGAGAGGAAUAGAUGUUGCCAUCAAGAGAAUAAAGAAAAGCUGCUUCACUGGCCGAUCAUCAGAGCAAGAGAGGCUGGUUCAGGUCUGAAUACUUUGGUGAAAAUGAAA